RNAcentral lists this ribosomal RNA (870 nucleotides) under uncultured Ulvibacter sp. RNAcentral's name for it is "bacterial SSU rRNA". It matches the Rfam family "Bacterial small subunit ribosomal RNA", at positions 51 to 873 of the family's 1533-position model. The record is from RNAcentral. Lineage: Bacteria; Pseudomonadati; Bacteroidota; Flavobacteriia; Flavobacteriales; Flavobacteriaceae.
ACACAUGCAGUCGAACGCGAAAUUUUUCUUCGGAAAGAGAGUAGAGUGGCGCACGGGUGAGUAACGCGUAAAUAAUCUACCCCUGCAUUUGGGAUAACCCACCGAAAGGUGGGCUAAUACCGGAUACGUUCUUUAUGUUGCGAGACGUAGAGAAGAAAGGUGGCCUCUGAUACAAGCUACUGUGCGGGGAGGAGUUUGCGUACCAUUAGUUAGUUGGUGUGGUAACGGCACACCAAGACAACGAUAGGUAGGGGCCCUGAGAGGGGGAUCCCCCACACUGGUACUGAGACACGGACCAGACUCCUACGGGAGGCAGCAGUGAGGAGUAUUGGACAAUGGGCGAGAGCCUGAUCCAGCCAUGCCGCGUGCAGGAAGACGGCCCUAUGGGUUGUAAACUGCUUUUAUACAGGAAGAAACACUCCCUCGUGAGGGAGCUUGACGGUACUGUAAGAAUAAGGACCGGCUAACUCCGUGCCAGCAGCCGCGGUAAUACGGAGGGUCCGAGCGUUAUCCGGAAUCAUUGGGUUUAAAGGGUCCGUAGGCGGGCAGCUCAGUCAGUGGUGAAAGUUUGCAGCUCAACUGUAAAAUUGCCAUUGAUACUGGUUGUCUUGAAUCAUUAUGAAGUGGUUAGAAUAUGUAGUGUAGCGGUGAAAUGCAUAGAUAUUACAUAGAAUACCAAUUGCGAAGGCAGAUCACUAAUAAUGUAUUGACGCUGAUGGACGAAAGCGUGGGGAGCGAACAGGAUUAGAUACGCUGGUAGUCCACGCAGUAAACGAUGAACACUAGUGUAGCGGGUAUUGACCCCUGCUGUGCCGCAGCUAACGCAUUAAGUGUUCCGGCACACAUGCAGACACAUGCAGACACAUGCAG